ACAAGCAAAGAACAGAAGGGAGGAAAAGAGGGUUCCGGGGAAAGGAACAAAAAUAGAAAAUUCAAAGAAAAAAAAACGAGGGAAAACCGCUGAUUUUUUCUUCUGUGGUUGUUUUUGGAGAGGAAACUGAAACACAAAGAAAGAGGUGUCCUAGCCCCAGUCACAGCAAGUCCAAAGCACCCCUGAAUGCAGUCAGCCCUGAGCCUAGACUGGAACUUGCAGACCACUGAAGACAAAGUGAGAAGACAACUGUCUACAAGCUCCCUCCAGAGGAGCCAAGUUGGCCAGCACCUUGAUCUUGGACUUCUCAGCCUCCAGAACUCAGGGACAAUCAUGGUGCUGGAGGAGCCAGGAGAGACUUCUCUAGAAAGUGCUAAUUGACCUGAGAUCUUCCAGAAGAUUAGGAGUUAAACAAAGGAAAGGACAUUCCCAAGAGAGGUUACAGAGAGCAUGGGCAAAGGCCCUGAGGUGAGAGAGACCAUGUAGGAUGAGAUGGCAGUUGCCAAAAUGGGCUAAAUGUAUGGGACUCAAUAAGGGAGUUUCAUCUUUAAGAGUGAUAGCAGGCAUGCCCAGCCAAUGUGGCUCAGUGGCUGAGCGUCAACCCAUG
Molecule: long non-coding RNA, 607 nt
Organism: Molossus molossus (Pallas's mastiff bat)
Lineage: Eukaryota; Metazoa; Chordata; Mammalia; Chiroptera; Molossidae
Exons: 4
Source: RefSeq, a predicted model, not a curated record